UUCCCAACUUCGGUUAUAAGAUCCCUCAAAGAUGAUGAGGUUAAUAGGUUCGAGGUGGAAGCAUGGUGACAUGUGGAGCUGACGAAUACUAAUCGAUCGAAGACUUAAUCAAA
This 113-nucleotide ribosomal RNA is filed under the name Staphylococcus argenteus. Its description in RNAcentral is "partial 23S ribosomal RNA". It matches the Rfam family "Bacterial large subunit ribosomal RNA", at positions 2812 to 2925 of the family's 2925-position model. Lineage: Bacteria; Bacillati; Bacillota; Bacilli; Caryophanales; Staphylococcaceae. The record is from RNAcentral.